AUCCAGUCGAAAAGUCCAAAAUAGGACGAAACAUGCGUCCUGGAU
RNAcentral lists this non-coding RNA (45 nucleotides) under Schistosoma curassoni. The record is from RNAcentral. Lineage: Eukaryota; Metazoa; Platyhelminthes; Trematoda; Strigeidida; Schistosomatidae.